This is a long non-coding RNA of Lolium perenne, 4011 nucleotides long. RefSeq lists it as uncharacterized. NCBI's taxonomy places the organism in Eukaryota, Viridiplantae, Streptophyta, Magnoliopsida, Poales, Poaceae. The record is from RefSeq and is a predicted model, not a curated record.
UCAUCUUAUGAUAUAAAAAGCACACCCACUGUCAAAACCCUAGCCAAAUUCCCCAGACCACCACUCCCGUGACCCUUUCCUCUUCUCCAUGUGCGGCGGCUGGUGCAGCUGCGCCACUUCAUUGGCCCGGCCUGAGCUCCACCCUCCCAUGGAGCAACCGGCUCGGCCGCUCAGCCCCACCUCCCGCUCCUUCUUCUCCUCUACGCCGCUCGUCCGAGCCAGUAGCACAAAAUUGGUGGCCUAUAGCAUGCGGGGCGUCGCCCAUUGGAGAUCCGCCAUCGAGCCCCUGCCCCGUUCAGCUCGGUGCAAUCGUCGGCGUGGAGGGAGAACACGGUCAGCCAUGUCCAUGACGUAGUGCCCACCUCUGCCUCUUCUUUUAGGUUGCCUCUCUCCCUUACCCAUUUGCGUGUAAUAAUCUAGAGAAAUCUAUGCAAGCCAACUGUUUGAUGAUAUGUCUAGGAGUCAUGAAAUUGUGUUUUUGCGUUUUUUUAUGUUGUAGUUGUAUCCACUUUUCUUCUCUACAUGCCACCGUUAUUUGAUCCGCGAAAUUAUUGCUAUCUUCAUUAGCAGCAUCUUAUUGAAAUUACUGCUCAUAAGAGAAGCCACGUAUUUUAGAUUUUAAGUGGAAAGGCUUCAUCUGUUGUGCGUAUAACAGAUGAUGCAAGGUGUGCCAGUGUUCUUUUUGGAUAAUAUUUCUGGUUUUUGUGUAGGUUUUGCGCAGAUUUAUGAGAUGGAUUUUGGUAAUGAAACAUCAAUUAUGUCCUUGCCAGUGGUGUAAAUGAACCGAGAAACUACAGUAGGUAUGGAUUCAGUAUUUGUACUUCAAUUGAUCAGGUUUGUCAUUUCCUUUCUUUAUAUGGAUAAAAAGGAUAGGUUAAUAUGGGUUGUUCAUAUUCAUGUUUGUCUGUCCAAGUAAAAAGAGAAGGAGAGGAACCAGAUUAUUUUGUAGCCUGGUUUUCAGUUAUUCUUUGUUUCAGUGACUUUUUUUUGUGUGGAUCCAACAAUUAAAUUGUGUGGAGCAUCUAAGAAACGCGCUGAUGUCUGUUUGUCUAUUGUACAGAUAUAUUAUAUAUAUUCCCAGUUAAUUCAUCAAUUAUAUGAAGCCUGUUUUUCUCAAUGCUUUUGGUGUUCUAUACCACAGAAUGCCACCUUCCAAUAUGGUCUAUUUGCGAACUCAUAGAGAUUUGACUAUCGAUCCUGUUACAUAUUUUGAUUCCCUUGUCCUCUUCCACUAGGAUUCAACAUUCAUAAGUAAACACUAAAGGGUAUUCAUACUGCUUACUGCACACUAUGCUUACUAUAAUACUGUCUAUGGAAGCUUAAUGUAGGUUUAUUUCACAUGGACUAUAAGGCGGCCAUGUUGUUUUUAUCCCCACCCUCUCUUGGUUUAAUUCCUGGAGUUGCGUGUGUGAUUCUAAGGCUGGCGUUUAAGGUCAUCACUUCAUUACAUUUAAGAGGGAGGAAAUACUGGAAGCUUUUUGCAGCUACUUGUCUCUGCUAACGAUUGGCUUUCUUUUAUUAUGAUAUUUUCCUAUUUAUUCCAAUUUACUAAUAUAUAAAAAUGAUGCUCAUUCAUACAAUAACUUGGAUUAAUGCUCAUCCCAGAAGUGGCAAUAUUUUCUUAUGUACAUGAAUUAAUUAUUCUUGCAAAAUAUUGGCUACGGUGUUCCAUUCACUACACCAUAUUAAGUUACUAUGCUGAUACUAACAUGUUACAUUUCUGCCUGAUGGUAACUAGGAGUCAUGACGCACUACUGGAAUGCAGAUAAUGGUGUAGUAUCCUCCUGUAAUUCAUGUAACUAUUUCAUCUCAGUAACAUGGGUGUUAUCUUCCAUUUUCUAAUUGGCUCAUUGUAGGCUACCUGGUAAUGAUAUGACAAUUUGUUGAUUGUACCGCUGCUUAUUUGUCGUCAAUUCAAACACUACCAAGCAGUUAAUCUCUUUCUUAUUUUGUCACCUAUCUUAUAUUCCUGUAGGUUUGGUCAAUGACGAAUCGUUCAUGUGCGGUACAUAUUGAGUCAGCUCUUGAAAGUCCUCCUUGCUGAAAGUACUUGGCGUGUCAAGCAUGCGCCAAUGGGGGGUACAUGAGCAAGGAUGGCACAUCGCAAUAAUAGAUUGAUGUGUACCAGUUAUCGUGGCAGUAUAUUAUUCCGCCUCUCCCUCCUCUUUGGCCCUUAACGGGAGAAGCAGGUGGCUUCGCAUGGAACAUCACCUCACUGCAUUUGACCCUUCCGCAGGUAAGCAUGAUCGAAUCUCUGGGUCGCCCACCGGGCGCUAAUUUUUCCUCAACUUUAGAUAGCUAACGUUGACUUUUUGAAGUAGAUCUUUGAACCAUAGAUUGCAAUCCACUCAUGUGGCAUAUGAUCAAAAUCACAACCUAGCAAGAGACUCUGAUCUGCCCAAAGAUAGGUUUUCUUCCUUCAGAAUACUAAUGGCAACUGCAAUGUAGGAGGUAACAGGAAAUAAAUUGUUCUCUUUUGAGUGGUAUGUAUUCUUUAUACUUAGUUAAUGUGGAAAAUCUCGCUAUUUAGUUUUUAUUUCUUGAUACUUAUAUUGUUACCAAGUCCAGUAUCUAUGUCUUGGAGGAGUGGUUAUAUGCCUGAUGAAAAAAAGACUCUCCCUCAAAGUAAGAACAAAAGAAAGAGUGGUCCUCUCUUCUGAAAAACCACAAGCACCAAAACUCCAGAAACCAUGAUGCGUGUAUAUGUUGGAAAUUUGGUACUCAUGUAGUAGACCGCCUUUUUUUUGCACUGAUAAAUGGUUGGUAAGCCUCAUGCGGCUAAAUAUAAUUGAGUUAAUCAUCUACAUUAUAAAUCCUUGAUAUAGUUGAGUUAAUCAUCUACAUCAUACAGUAUGAAAUCCUUAGCAACUGUAUUCAAAUAUUCAAAUCUUCAUGUCAGUAGUAAUCAUAGCUGUUCUGUGAGAGAGCUUUAGAUAUGGCGUCUGUUGAGUACUUUAUCAACAUAAACUGGAGCUCACAAAUAUAUGGUAGUUAUCUUGCGUACAUAGCUGGCCACAUUUUCUGGUUUUAAAGCAUUUAUAAGAGUUCCCAUCUUUGUUCUUUUGACAUUGCCACGGUUAGCACUUGUGAUGAAAUGCUUCACAGCAUACAAUUUGUGCUAGAAACAUUUAGAAUGUUACUUAUCAGAGAAGUUCAUAAUUAGGUGCCACAACAUAGUAGCCUAACCUGUACAUAAUUAGGCAGCAUUGAACUUCAUGGCGAACAAAGUAUUGAAUCAACGAUUUCAUUUCCAUUUUCCACAUCGUUGGGUGGACAUGCUAUGUCAAUAUUAACAUUAGUUGAGUUAAUCAUCUACAUCAUACAGUAUGAAAUGCUUAGCAGUUGUAUUCAAAUAUUCAUACCACGCCAGAUGUACAAACUAUGUGUUCUUUUGGUUCUCUUUGUUAGCUCAUACUUCUUCUAUGUACCCAAUAAAAUGAAAUGAUGCAUUUUUCUUUUCAUUUAACCAAUGCGAGAGGUAGGGCCGUGUGCCAAGGUGCGCCCCAAAGUUCGGUUGCAGUCCAAGCAUUCAGAUACAUGGAGACUGUCAAAAAUGUCCUGAAGGACUUCAACUAUGCUGAGGUGGAAACAAAGAAGAAUGUGAGCGAGGUUCUUCUCUGGCAGAUGAAUGAAAAUGAUCAAAAACUGGAGAGAAGUCCAAUAAGCUGAAAGAAGUUGACAGAUCCUAUGGUAACCAAUAUUGUGUGUGUUUCCACCCAUCGCAUUCAAGAUAGUUUCACAGAACCUCAAUCCAAACUGCAGCCCCUUGUUUGAGACAUAGGUUGUGGCUACUGAUCUUAAUCAACAGCGUUGGAGUCCCAUGACAUGCUCAAGACCAUAGGGGCUUGUUCUAUAUUUGACUGAGUCUGAAUCAUUCGUGUUUAAUGUUUCGUCCAAAUUAUAUUUAAUAAUGGAACAACUCUCUGUCAACCCAUAUGAGAUGCCUCCGUGAUAUUUCGGAACCAUGUAUUAGUAUAUGUAUGCAAUAUAUUUUCCCUGUUCUCCUUUUCA